RNAcentral lists this small RNA (690 nucleotides) under Pongo abelii (Sumatran orangutan). Its description in RNAcentral is "retained intron". Lineage: Eukaryota; Metazoa; Chordata; Mammalia; Primates; Hominidae. The record is from RNAcentral.
CUCUUUGGCUUUCUGUGUGCUGACUUUUAAGAUCCAUUAUUUUAAAAACAUAAAUUCCUAUUCAUUAAUAUGUAUUUUUAAAAAAACAGGUUUACUUGUGUCCUGAAAGACAGUGUUACAGAAACAUUGCCGAGAGUGAAUAGGACAGCAGCGAUUUCUGGGUAUUCUUUGAAGCAAUGCUCACACCAAAUAAGUGCUUGCAACAAAGACACUUAUGUGGACCUAGACAUGAAGGGCAUAAACUAUAACAGCUCAGUUGCCAAGAGUGCUCAAGAAUGCCAAGAAAGAUGCACGGAUGAUGUCCACUGCCACUUUUUCACGUACGCCACAGGGCAGUUUCCCAGCCUGGAGCAUCGGUGAGUAAGCCACAGGACAUUCGAGUGGCCGACGAAAAACAGAGUCGUGAUUUACUAAAAAGCUUUUGCCAUCAACGUUAUGCCAGAAUUUAUUUUGAACCCCUAAAAGUCUUUUCUAUAAAAGUACUCCUAGUUUUCUUCAUGAAAAAUACACUUAAAGCCUAAUUUGGAUGCAUUUCAUUUAUGGUAAGGAGUCUAUCUUUUAAUAACACUGUCAGAAAAAUAUAUACACUUAGCUAAUUUCAAAAGCGCUACACUUUUAAAUUGGCACUUUUGAAACAGCUGCAAUUGGUAUGAUUGUCAGUGCCCUUCCCAGUCUAAAAAAUGUUACAGU